GAGGGUAUAGCUCAAGUAGUAGAGUACAUGCUUAGCAUGUGUUUGAGGUCCUGGGUUCAAUCCCCAGUACCUCUA
RNAcentral lists this transfer RNA (75 nucleotides) under Camelus bactrianus (Bactrian camel). It matches the Rfam family "tRNA". From Rfam's summary of the family: Transfer RNA (tRNA) molecules are approximately 80 nucleotides in length. The record is from Rfam by way of RNAcentral. Lineage: Eukaryota; Metazoa; Chordata; Mammalia; Artiodactyla; Camelidae. RNAcentral also lists the same sequence under 2 other names.